AACGAACGCUGGCGGCAGGCCUAACACAUGCAAGUCGAGCGAGAACUUCGGUUCUAGCGGCGGACGGGUGAGUAACGCGUGGGAACGUGCCCUUUGCUACGGAAUAGCCCAGGGAAACUUGGAUUAAUACCGUAUACGCCCUUCGGGGGAAAGAUUUAUCGGCAAAGGAUCGGCCCGCGUUAGAUUAGGUAGUUGGUGGGGUAAUGGCCUACCAAGCCUACGAUCUAUAGCUGGUUUGAGAGGAUGAUCAGCCACACUGGGACUGAGACACGGCCCAGACUCCUACGGGAGGCAGCAGUGGGGAAUCUUAGACAAUGGGGGGAAACCCUGAUCUAGCCAUGCCGCGUGAUCGAUGAAGGCCUUAGGGUUGUAAAGAUCUUUCAGUGGGGAAGAUAAUGACGGUACCCACAGAAGAAGCCCCGGCUAACUCCGUGCCAGCAGCCGCGGUAAUACGGAGGGGGCUAGCGUUGUUCGGAAUUACUGGGCGUAAAGCGCGCGUAGGCGGGCUGGAAAGUUGGGGGUGAAAUCCCGGGGCUCAACCCCGGAACUGCCUCCAAAACUUCCAGUCUUGAGUUCGAGAGAGGUGAGUGGAACUCCGAGUGUAGAGGUGAAAUUCGUAGAUAUUCGGAAGAACACCAGUGGCGAAGGCGGCUCACUGGCUCGAUACUGACGCUGAGGUGCGAAAGUGUGGGGAGCAAACAGG
RNAcentral lists this ribosomal RNA (703 nucleotides) under uncultured bacterium. RNAcentral's name for it is "bacterial SSU rRNA". It matches the Rfam family "Bacterial small subunit ribosomal RNA", at positions 28 to 776 of the family's 1533-position model. The record is from RNAcentral.